This 277-nucleotide ribosomal RNA is filed under the name uncultured prokaryote. Its description in RNAcentral is "partial 16S ribosomal RNA". It matches the Rfam family "Bacterial small subunit ribosomal RNA", at positions 524 to 800 of the family's 1533-position model. The record is from RNAcentral.
UACGUAGGGAGCGAGCGUUGUCCGGAAUUACUGGGCGUAAAGGGCGCGUAGGCGGGGAUUUAAGUCAGAUGUGAAAACUCUGGGCUCAACCUGGAGACUGCAUUUGAAACUGGAUCUCUUGAGGGCAGGAGAGGAAAGUGGAAUUCCUAGUGUAGCGGUGAAAUGCGUAGAUAUUAGGAGGAACACCAGUGGCGAAGGCGGUUUACUGGACGACAACUGACGCUGAGACACGAAAGCGUGGGGAGCAAACAGGAUUAGAUACCCCGGUAGUCCCUGA